Non-coding RNA from Dallia pectoralis (Alaska blackfish), 73 nucleotides. The record is from the annotation of a GenBank genome assembly. Lineage: Eukaryota; Metazoa; Chordata; Actinopteri; Esociformes; Umbridae.
GGAGUGUGUAGAUCAGUGGUAGAGUGCAUGCUUUGUAUGCAUGAUAUUCUGAGUUCAAUCCCCAGAUUCUCUC